Molecule: long non-coding RNA, 3276 nt
Organism: Corythoichthys intestinalis (scribbled pipefish)
Lineage: Eukaryota; Metazoa; Chordata; Actinopteri; Syngnathiformes; Syngnathidae
Exons: 3
Source: RefSeq, a predicted model, not a curated record
UUAAAGGGGAACUGAAGAGGUUUUCAGAUUUCGCUCUUAAGUGUUUUACUCAGUUGAAUUGUAUUAAAUGCGUCAUUCGCUCUCUCAAAAAGUCACUUAAAAAAAAAAUAAUAAUAAUUGACCGCGUAGUUUUUGAGUUAUGGCCAUAGCAACACCAUAGCAACGAGGGACGCGCCGUCCUGCCGACCCCUACCUCGUGACGUAACUUCCAGGAAGCCUCGCCACCACUCUGAACACGGAAAUAUAGCACCACGCUAUCCUCGCCAUAUAUUGCAAACAUUUUCUGGGUUUUACUCGCGGGAUUCGUCAUGCCAUCUCGAUGUGUAGCGAUAUGAAUUACUCACAGGAAGACUCGAGACUCUAGGAGUGGUCCAAAAAAAAAACUUCUCCUGCAAAGCCACGACAGCUUUGAAAACCUACAACAAUGCAACCUUGGUUUUCCAAAGACGAAGCCAAACAUAAAAAAUUAAGUGGCGGAAACCCUCAACACGAUGAAAAAAGCGUUGCAAGUCAGUUGCCACCCAGUUUCCCAAAAUCAAGAGAGAGUGGGUCGAGUCAUAUGAUGACCGAAGUGAUGCGGUGUCCAGCGAUGACGACUGAAGAGAUCCUAUGAGGCCUGCCAGAUGCUGAAUUUCUUCCGUCUGCGACAUCAGAUGACGAUGAUUUAGGAGAAAUAAAUGUAGCAAAUUUUGAUGACAUGAAAUCAUAAACUAGUCAUAUAUACAGUACACAUUUUUUAAAAGAAAAAUCAAGUUACCUUCAUAUUUUAAUGAUAAUGCAUUAUCUUUGUAUAGAGAACACUUCAUGCUACAGAAAAGAGUAAAUACAUAUUUCCCACUGCCGUUAUCAUUUUUCAAUGUUCCGCUAGUCCGUUGCUAUCCUAACUUUGUGUUGCUUACUGAAAUUAUGCUCUUUGAUGUGUGCCGUUGUGUGCUUGGUAUAACAUGUUGUGUCACAAUCUGACAACGAAAGCUAAUGCUGAUUCAACAUAAACCUGGUAUCAUUAUUGCGGCCUAUUGAAUAUUUUUUCAGAAUGUAAUAUAAUUACAAUAUUUUAUAUAACAAUAGAAUACAUUAAACAGUCAACAAAAUGUGUCAAUGUUGUUAAUUUAUGGUUUUAUUUUUUUUAAUGAAAUUCAUGCCCCUGUCAGUGCUUCAGCCUCUGCAAGUUUGGCUCUCACGUCUGGGAUCUCCUGAUGACACAGGCAUACUCUUGGAAGGGUAAUUACUUGAUGGUUUACAGCAACACCUGGAAAAUAAAAUGGUUUUGUCAUUUAUUUUAAAAUACCAAUAACAUUUCAUUCAUUUAGCCACAUUUGGGCUAGCUUUACCAUAUUUAGAUCGGUAGGAGCUGUCCCAUUACCUAAUAUCCAGUUUUAGCUAUGUGUAGAGCAUGGAAAAAUAUACAACCAUGUAAUCGCAUUCUAAUAAAAAAAAUCACGAUGCUGGACUUACCACUCACUCUCCCGUUCGUGAAGUGUCGAGCUGUCAAUUGGCAUCAUGACGCCAUCUGCUGUGUCAAGUAAAUCGCCGUCAUCUGACGCCUCAGGUUCAAACAUGUAGGGAUUAAUUGUAGUUCAUCUUUCCUGGGAGCCUUUGCCAUCGGUAGCGUCACGAAAGAGCGAUCCUGAAUGGUUACCUUUGGUGGAAAUAUCACUGACAUCGUUGUUGCUGCUAUGUUAGCUGUGGGUAGUCUUCUGUUGCCUACGUCACACUUCCGGGUUUGCGAAGGGACCAUUAACGGAGUGCAAAAAAAAUAAAAAAACGCAAAUUAUCCUUACAAUUACGUGUUGAUAAUGUCAUGGUUGUUUUGAGGAACUUGUCCCAAGUUUAUAUUCAUAAAAUUACACCAAAAUCCGGAAAGGUCUUCAGUUCCUCUUUAAGGCGUCGUUCACUAGCUGUCUAGCUUUGGAAAAAGUAGACGCUUCGGAGUGAGGACAGCAUAGACAGAUUUAAAUGACAGUAGAGUGAAAUGCCCACUACAGUCCUUAUGUACCAUAUGUUGAAUGUAUAUAUCCAUCUUGUGUCUUAUCUUUCCAUUCCAACAAUUUAUUCUACAGAAUAUAUAAUUUACAGAAAAAUAUGGCAUAUUUUAUAGAUGGUUUGAAUUGCGAUUAAUUACGAUUAAUUAAUUUUUAAGCUGUAAUUAACUCGAUUAAAAUUUUUAAUCGUUUGACAGCCCUAGUAAAUAUAUGAAAAUGAAGAUCUCGACCACUCCUUGAUGUCUGCAAUUUCUGCAUUGCGACCCUUGUUGUAUUACCAUGUUUCACCCUUAAAAUUCCCCAAAAAUCCAGCUGUGGCCAUUCAUAGUUGUGUCUUGACUCUCGGUGAUACAUGCUACAUGGAGUUUUUGGUCCGAAAAGAGGUAGGUACACGAUAAUAUCUCGUUAAAAUCGUGGCAUCUUUAAUUUUGCUCUCGCCUCCAGUUAGGGUUUUUCUGUUUAAUUUUUUUUUUUUAAUGCCCUCCUGUUCAAAUUUUUUCAUCCCCCAGAAAAUUGAGAUUUUUAAGCUUUCCAAUUAUGUAUCACACAUGCAUAUAUGGUUAGGUUUAGGAACUCGUGCCCGAGUACAUAAUUUUAGAAAAAUGCAAUUGAUUGAAAAAGAUUGGGAUUUUAUUUUUUUUCCAAGUGCUACAAAACAACAAGAUAAGAUGUACAAGGAUAUCCAGCCAUCCAUCAUCUACCGUUUAGUCCGGGAUUGGGUCACGGAGGCAGCAGCUUUAGCAGGGAAGCCCAGACUUUACUCUUUCCAGCAACUUCAACCAGCUCCUCCAGCAGGAUCCCAAGGCGUUCCCGGGCCAGCCGAGAGACAUAGUCUCUCCAGUGUGUCCUGGGUCGUCCCCGGGGCCUCCCGCCGGUGGGACAUGCCCAGAACACCUCUCCAGGGAGGUGUCCAGCACGCAAUAUUUUUAGAAGACUGGAAUUGCGUAAAUAAGUUUGUUUUUAAGAUUUGUAUUAAUGGCUACAAAGCAAUAAAGUAUUCAAGAUGGACAAGGAUAGUGUCAAGAGAAACGAUAGAAAGUAUGUCGUGUGAUAAACUGAUAAAUUGUUGAGGUAUCGUAUAGGUACUCUGUAUUGGCAGGUACUAGGUAUUGGCAGGUCCUCAAAAUCAGACUAACUCGGGUUGAAAAAAUAUGCGAUCAGGACAACACUAAUAUACAGUAUUGAUUAUAUUCAAUCAAUACUGUAUUUUAUUCUUGAUAUUAUGUUUGUAUUGUUUCAUAAAUGUAUUAUUAUAUAAUGGUUAUAAUAUAACUACCGUAUUGGCCCGAAUAUA